This 469-nucleotide ribosomal RNA is filed under the name uncultured bacterium. Its description in RNAcentral is "partial 16S ribosomal RNA". It matches the Rfam family "Bacterial small subunit ribosomal RNA", at positions 28 to 507 of the family's 1533-position model. The record is from RNAcentral.
GACGAACGCUGGCGGCGUGCUUAACACAUGCAAGUCGAACGGAAAGGCCCUGCUUGCAGGGUGCUCGAGUGGCGAACGGGUGAGUAACACGUGGGUGAUCUGCCCCUUACUUUGGGAUAAGCCUUGGAAACUGGGUCUACUACUGGAUAGGACCAUGCUGUAGGUGGUGUUGUGGAAAGAUUAGUUUCGGUAAGGGAUGAGCUCGCGGCCUAUCAGCUUGUUGGUGGGGUAAUGGCCUACCAAGGCGUCGACGGGUAGCCGGCCUGAGAGGGUGGACGGCCACAUUGGGACUGAGAUACGGCCCAGACUCCUACGGGAGGCAGCAGUGGGGAAUAUUGCACAAUGGGCGCAAGCCUGAUGCAGCGACGCCGCGUGGGGGAUGACGGCCUUCGGGUUGUAAACUCCUUUCAGCCAUGACGAAGCCCUUGUGGUGACGGUAGUGGUAGAAGAAGCACCGGCUAACUACGUG